ACUAUUGCAAACUUAGUCUGGACACUAUAAAAGAAAGUCUGCAUGUAAGAAUAUGCUCACCGUAAAUUUGUAGUGUUCAGAUUGAGUUUAUAGUGGUUG
Dichanthelium oligosanthes is the source of this 99-nucleotide microRNA precursor. It matches the Rfam family "MIR1878 microRNA precursor family". The record is from Rfam. Lineage: Eukaryota; Viridiplantae; Streptophyta; Magnoliopsida; Poales; Poaceae.